AGUUUUCGUAUUAAUGAAAUUAUUAAAUUUAUGUUAGUAGUGAAAUGCUAGACGAUUUUUCAUAUCUGGUUGAAGGAGAAUUAAAUUAAAUUUAGUUAUUUUGAGGUUAAAAAAGCUUUAAAAUAAUAAAGAGUAGGAGGGAAGAGCUUCUUAUUCUAAUAAUAAGUAAACUAUAAUAAAAGUAAUUUAAGUAUUACUGAAUUAGGCUUAAAAACAGCCAUAUUAGUAAAGCGUUCUAGUUAAUGUAACAUCUUCGAUUAAUAUUUAUAUAAGUAAAAAUUUAGUAGUAAUUAUCCGACUCUCUUAGUUAAUAUGUUAUUAAAAGUAAUAAUGAUUUUAUUAGUAGAAAUAAACUGUGAUAUUAUAAUUUGAAAUGAAAAAAAAUUUCUUAUUUAAUACAAGAUAUAAUUAAGGAACUCGGCAAAUAAUGCUUUUGCCUGUUUAUCAAAAACAUGUCUAUAUGAUUGGUAUGUAAAGUCUGGCCUGCCCACUGAUUUAUUUUAAAGGGCCGCGGUAUACUGACCGUGCGAAGGUAGCAUAAUCAUUAGUCUUUUAAUUGGAGGCUCGUAUGAAUGGUUGGACAAAA
This 586-nucleotide ribosomal RNA is filed under the name Penaeus vannamei (Pacific white shrimp). Its description in RNAcentral is "partial 16S ribosomal RNA". Lineage: Eukaryota; Metazoa; Arthropoda; Malacostraca; Decapoda; Penaeidae. The record is from RNAcentral.